Long non-coding RNA from Pseudoliparis swirei, 361 nucleotides. RefSeq lists it as uncharacterized. The record is from RefSeq and is a predicted model, not a curated record. Lineage: Eukaryota; Metazoa; Chordata; Actinopteri; Perciformes; Liparidae. The transcript is spliced from 2 exons.
GCGCGCGCGGAUGGAAAGAGGGCAGUGGAGCCGGGGCGGCUCAGUGGACUCUUUGUUCUCCUCGCGGUGGAUGGGAACGUUUCCUAAUUCCCAGUUUUUCAACUAUUUGAGGAUCAAAAGAACUGUUGAGCUCGUCGUUCUCAUCCCUCGUUUCUCAUCAUGGUCCCGAUUCGUCGUAGCAGACCUCCGCCGCUAGAGGGCGCUGCAGCACAACAUGUCAGGGAGAGAGGAGAUGAAGAAAAGUCCUCACAGAAGAGGAUGGGAGUAGAUGCAAAGCGACCUCUUGAAGGAUUUCAUCUUUGAAUCGAUUCAUAUUCAAACAUUUAAAGAUCAAUAAAUCCACAAAUAACCUUAAAAUCAC